UAGGGAAUCUUCCACAAUGGACGCAAGUCUGAUGGAGCAACGCCGCGUGAGUGAAGAAGGCUUUCGGGUCGUAAAACUCUGUUAUUGAAGAAGAACGUGUGUGACAGUAACUGGUCAUGCAGUGACGGUAUUCAAUCAGAAAGUCACGGCUAACUACGUGCCACAGCCGCGGUAAUACGUAGGUGGCAAGCGUUGUCCGGAUUUAUUGGGCGUAAAGCGAGUGCAGGCGGUCUUUUAAGUCUGAUGUGAAAGCCUUCGGCUUAACCGAAGAAGGGCAUCGGAAACUGGGAGACUUGAGUGCAGAA
This 305-nucleotide ribosomal RNA is filed under the name uncultured bacterium. RNAcentral describes it as "partial 16S ribosomal RNA". It matches the Rfam family "Bacterial small subunit ribosomal RNA", at positions 355 to 653 of the family's 1533-position model. The record is from RNAcentral.